CAAAAGUUAUAGCGAAAAAACGAAAUAUUGCAAUUUUUUAAAAUUCCCGCCAUUUGUCCCGCGAGAACGGAAGUUGGAAAAUAAAAAUCGAUUAGAGGACCGCAAAGUGUUAAUUAUGAUUAGUUAAAAUCCACAUCUACAGGACCAUUCACCAAACUUUGCCAGAGUGACACACUGAUGAAAGCCUAUCCAUAGCAAGAUCAAACUUUAUACCAAUACUGUACCCCUUUAAUAGGAUGACUUUUACCAGAAAGAUAGCUAAAAAGACUAAGAAAAACAUGUCUGCUAGCAGAGCACCAACAUUAUUUAAUAGACUUAGAAAUGAAAAAGACCCGAGAAAGGAGCAUGAAAAAUCAGGUGCAUAUAGAAUACCAAUCACAAACCAGGUGACUCAAGAACAAGCCAAACCAGGUGACUCAAGAACAAGCCACUUAUCUCAGCAUAAUUAAUAGAACUUUAGCCCAACAUCUGCAGGAUCUCAAAAACAAUAUAGCUAAAGCCAAAUUAACAGCAGUACUUGUUGUGCAAGCAUAAACUACUGAUUUUAGUAUACACUGGGACCAAGCUAAGGUCAUAAAACCAGUUAAUGUUAGCCCCCAAGCAUUAAUAACAGAAACCAUAGAAAUCUUAAAAAGGUGCAAGACACAGAAUGACUCCUCAAUGACUACUAAGGAACCCAAAUACCUUCAGCUUGGAGCUACCUACUACAAGAUUGGAAAAGGAACCACCAAAAGCCAGAAUCCUCUGCCACACUGAAUUAGCAUCCCACGAACUGAGAGAAGAAAUCCUAUGAACCAGAGCAUAAGGCAAACUACUAUUCCCUUAAUGCUGAUUUUAGAAGCAUAUUAAACAUGUAUAUUCCAACUAAUGGAGCCCUAUACGAAAGAAUAAGCACUCCUUCUUUAAUAGUCAACAUUUUAUUUAUUUUAUAUUAUAG
RNAcentral lists this long non-coding RNA (937 nucleotides) under Androctonus crassicauda. The record is from RNAcentral. Lineage: Eukaryota; Metazoa; Arthropoda; Arachnida; Scorpiones; Buthidae.